Non-coding RNA from Theobroma umbraticum, 1549 nucleotides. Lineage: Eukaryota; Viridiplantae; Streptophyta; Magnoliopsida; Malvales; Malvaceae. The record is from RefSeq and is a predicted model, not a curated record.
ACAGUUCACAUUCAACAGUGCUACAAUUAUAUUUACUAAUAUCUUACCCUCUCCAUUGUGCCAGAAAAUAGAAGAGAGACAUUGAGAGUGAGAGAAGGGAAGAUGAGCUUCUUGAAGAUAUACAAGUUUUUGUUACAUGGGGUGUUGAAGCUAGCUGGGAUAAGGCCCCACACCAUAGAGAUCGAGCCAGGGACGAUUAUGAACUUUUGGGUCCCAACUGAAACCAUUAACAACACCAACACGAAAAGAAAAAAGCCUGCCGUAGUUUUCCUCCAUGGCUUUGGCUUUGAUGGUAUUCUAACAUGGCAAUUUCAGGCGUUAGCUUUGGCCAAAGAGUACUCCGUUUACGUCCCGGAUUUCCUCUUCUUCGGUGGUUCCAUCACCGACAAGACGGAGAGGUCGGUGGAGUUUCAAGCCGAGUACAUGGCCAAGGGUUUGAGAAAGCUGGGUGUGGAGAAAUGUACCCUGGUGGGGUUGAGUUAUGGAGGAAUGGUUGGUUUCAAGAUGGCGGAGAUGUACCCUGACUUGGUUGAGUCCAUGGUGGUGACCUGCUCGGUUAUGGCCUUGACUGAGUCGAUCAGCAAUGCUGGACUUGAGCGAAUUGGGUUCCCAAGCUGGGCAGAUUUUUUGCUUCCAGUGUCAGUUAAGGGCGUUGAGACCCUCCUUCAAGUUGCUACUUACAGUUUCCCAAAGUUGCCUAAUUGGAUUUACAAAGACAUUUUGGAGGGGAUCUUUAUUUACAGAAAGGAGAAAGUGGAACUCCUUGAGGCUUUGGUCAUUAGUGACAAGGAAUUUACCAUUCCUUGUUACCACCAGAGUAUAUAUCUUUUGUGGGGGCAGAAUGACGAGAUUUUUGACUUGGACACCGCCCGCAACUUGAAACAGCAAAUCGGAGAAAAAGCAAGUCUAGAAUACAUAGAGAAAUCAGGUCACCUCGUUCAAUUGGAGCGACCAUUCGUGUACAACAGCCACCUCAAGAAAAUUCUUGCUUCCAUUUGGUCAAAAGAGAGAAGUCAUGCCAUCGAUGCAUUUCCGCAGCCGAAAAAGGAGUGAUCACCUAGUCUUCGGAAUUGAAUUUUAUCUUGUUCACAUAUAGGCCAAAUCAGCCACAAUGACAGUUUCUACGGGUACCCUAGGUUUCCGCUGUCGGUAGGCAUGAUGCUUUUAUGGUAUAUUUGCCCUGUUUUUCUAUGCAAUUCUUAAUUUCUGGGUAUUCUGUAUCGAUGAUUCUGCGUUUGUACUUUGAAUGAGUCUACGAGACACAUACGUUCUGGGAGUUUCUUCUGCUCGAACCCAGCUCUGUCAAAAACCCAUUUAAACUCAACAUGUCCGGAAGCGAUUCUACCACGUGGCCCUCCAACUGGCUACAAACAGGAGUGUUCAUACUUGGCUGAUCUGAGUUAGUUUGCAGUUCGAAGAAUGAAAAAUUUGACUGAUUUGGAUUGAAAUAAUUGGGUCUUGGACUAUGAAUCUGAUAGCAAUUAAUAAGGUUGCAAAGAUUUAUCGAUUUUGAAUUUUUUUUUUUGGCUUUAAACCAAAUAGUGAACAC